This is a non-coding RNA of Anas platyrhynchos (mallard), 8440 nucleotides long. NCBI's taxonomy places the organism in Eukaryota, Metazoa, Chordata, Aves, Anseriformes, Anatidae. The record is from RefSeq and is a predicted model, not a curated record.
UUUUUCUUGUGUGUUUUCAAGGCUAUCCACUUACGGAAAGUAACAGCGAAAGUUUAUCUGCUGACAGCUCAUUGCCAGAAUUCCAGGCAGGGGCUUGCAAUAUUUACACAAGGUGUUUCAUUGUGAACUUUCUGUAUGCAAGUGUAUUAAAACUCAAGAAAUACACACAGCAAGUUGCAGAAAAUUAAUUCUCUUUCCUUCAUUCCUGUACUUGCAAGCAAUCUUUGCCAGUCCUCUUUCCAUUCCAGAGCACAAUAAUGCCCAUAAAAGACCAGAGAGUGUCUGCUCUAUGCAACAUUUCUGCUUGUUUAUAACAGGAGGGGAAAAAUGGAUUGAAUUUAUUACAGCUGGUGGGGGAAAUCUGUUUUUGUCCAUUUUACCUGAUUGUUGCCGAAACCAUAUGUACAAAAUAAGUGAAAAGAAGCAUACCUGCAAAGAAAUUCGGCUGUUGAGCAUUCUGCAGGGUUUUCCUGAGGUCUGACCUUUGGCAAUCAUGGUUUUGCCAUGCUUUACAGAGAUCUAAUUGUUCCUAAUUUCCUGUCAAUAAAUGGUACAAGGUGUGGAGUUGCACUUUUAAUGUUAAAUUUCAAUCAUUUGUCUGACUUAAUAGACAUGAAUAGCUCUUUCAAAUGUAAGUGCUUUCAGUUCAUGUAGGAUAUAUUUGUAUUGAAAACGUAUUUUGAGUGGAUAAAGCCAUUAUUCAGGAUGUAGGAAAACAUUUCCUACCUAUUGCUGUCAAGCUCUGGGGGAGCUGUGGGCUCAGGGCUUGGAUCUUCUGAUCUUGGGAAAUAGACUCUAGAGUAAGGGUAUUUUUUUCCUUCAGUGAAAAUCACAACAGGUUCCUUCUUGCCAUGGGGAGAUGUGGCCAUGCUCUGUCCCAGGCAUGUCCUGUCACAUACACAUGCAUCUAGGUGGCAUGCAGGUGUCCUCCCACCACCAGGCUAUUCCUGGAGGCACAAAGCCAAUGCUUCUUCUUGGAAACACUGUUGGUCCCUUGGCAUCUUUCUCCUCUUCCCCAGGAUUUUCGGAUUUGGGUCUUCAGGUGUUUGUUUUCCCCUGUGUGUGAAGCUUCCCACAUCCCUGACAUGCCCAUGAUGUGUAGUAACUGCAGCGUGGGCAUGCCCUGAGUCACAGAGGCAGUAGCAAAAGCCACAUCUAGUUCUGGGAAGGGAGUGCCAACUGCCUGACUGCAAGCCUCUAUCAGAGCCCAUCUGAAAGUCUUCAUCUAAAAUAUACAGCAAUAUUUCUGCUGGACCUUGAUCUGGCUAGGUGUGAUGAGAAGAGUAGUGUUUCUACAGGUUGAUACUUCAAAGAGGCAAUAAAGUGCUAGGGAAAAUUGCUUUGGACUUGUGAUGAUGCAGUUAAAUAUUUGCAAAACUGUUUUAACAGGAUGCAGAGGAACUUAGAGCUAUUAGUGAUAGGUGAUAAAUCAGUUCAGAUAAAGUAGUUUGUGUGUAGAAGAUCGGUACUUGACUUUACUGUAACCAUGAGUAACAUUUCAGUAAAUAACAAUUUAUUGAAAUCUUUAAGUCAACAGUCAUUCAUCCUGUAAGGUUUCCACAGGUGAACUUGUGGUCUACGUUGAUAAUCACUGUUCGGGAGCAGAUUAAAAAAAUAUAUGACUCACCGUAUAAUCUACCCAGGCAGUCCUGACCCUGAAUCAGAGCAAUUAUUACAAUUACAACGUCCUUGUGUUUGGUAUUUUUAAUUCAGCUUUACACACUCUUCUGAAAGUUCCUGGCAGGACACUAUAUUCUGUUGGUCUUCUAUCACAUUCUAAAGCACUCGAUUACACCAAGAAAACCAGUAAUUUCUCUAUAUUUGUAGCUAUUCUUUCCUCUGUUGCAUACAAUGCUGCUUUUCCAGUAUUGAAUCCAUGAAAAAUGGCUGUAUUUUUCCUAUGAAAAAAAAGAUGUGUGUUGUAACUUUUCCUUAACAUAGACUGUGUUUUAAUAUAAUUCAGCUCAUAACUAAUCCCCUCCUGCACAGAUAACAUUUUAUACUUGAGUUUUGCUCUUUGAGCUUUUCAGCUUUUCAAUUCCAGCACUGGAUUCAUAUCAGGUUUCCUCUCUUAAAUAGUUCUCCUGUCUGUUUUGUAUAACUUCCAGUGGUUUGCAGAGUAUCUUUGUUUCAAAAUCUGUUGGUCUGCUCUACUGGGACUACAUAUGUCUCUGUUGUGUUUAACUAUCCCCUGCAACCUGUUAAUAUAGCAUAAUGGGUUUGCGAAGAUAAAAACCUUACCAACAAAAUAAUACUCCUUUCAUUAGAAACGGACCCUGAAAAAAAAAGUAGACACUUGAAAUGAAAAAUAUUUCAGGAGGAGAAAUAUCUAGGUCACAGCUUUUCUCAAUUUUUGUAAUUUAAUGCAGCCUGGAAUAAUUGCUGCAUGCAUUCUUUUGAAAUCAAGUCCUAUAAUGUUCUUAUUGCUCAAUCUCUAUUUUCGAAUGUUCUUGGUACUGUACAUUGUUCUGUUUUCCAAAUAAUUACAUUGUAAAAAAAAUGCUAAAAAAGUAAGUUGAAUCAGAGUUUAUCCAAAUAUUGAAAAGAAAUGUAGCCAUCCACAUCGGCCUGUUAGCUGUUGGUUUCUUUGUGGGAAAUUAACUCCACCUCUGAAGACCUCACUGCCACAAAGCCCGAAGCUCUGGAGAAAAAUACACUGUUGUGGAGCUGCUGGGGGGAGUAAACGACUUAUGGCUCGAGACUCAGGAAUUACCUGACAGACCCAGGAACCUUACCAAAAAGCACUUCCACUCUGAGCUGUCAGGCUCAGAAAAUGGAAGGUGGGCAAGGGAAGGCAGCAGGAUGAAGAGAGCCCAGACGUUUUAUUGGAUGGCCACUUCCUAUGAGCAGCACUGCGGUAUCCCUUCAUGUUCCCGAGAAGACAAAGCCCCUUCUCUUCCUCUCACCUUCACCUGACAUCCAUGUGGCAGCUACAGCAACUGCUCUGAUAGCAAAUAUAAUUUCCGCUUUGUUUCAUGCUAAACCAAAGAUGUUAAAACGGAGAAAUCAUCAGUAUUUGGGCCUCCAAGGAGCAAUUAAAUAGAGGCUUAAAAUUGGAUUAGGAAGCCCUAAUCCUAACCCAAAUUUCCUUGUUUUAGACCCAUUUACAAGGUUAGCUAUUGAAGGAGUGCAGGAGUAGAACAAAGGAGCCUGCUUACAGCAGGGAAAAUCACAUCUUAAACAUCUGAGAGGCUUCAUUCCACUUCGGUGUCAUAAAUUUAAACAAACAAUGUUGUUACAGAUUCAUGCAUUAAAUCAGCUCAGCGAUCGGAGACCGAUACAUCUUCUGUCACCUGUAGAAUCACACAGACAAUUUAUAGUUGUACGUGGUACUUUACCAAGAAACACAAUGACUUACUGAGCUUUAUUAUAUUUCAUUCCUACCAAAGCUCAGACUGUGUUCUUUUGCUCAUACUUUACGUUAUCACCUUGCUCAUCCUGGAGAGGUGCUGCUGUGUACUCCUAUGGUUUGGAAGAGGUGGCAUGCUUUGCUCCAGUGCACAGCCAGGCUCCGGGCAGAAAGCUUUUUCCAGCACCCAACCUGUUCAUUGACCUGAAAACAGCAUGUUUCACCUGUCUCAUGGUGUCAAAGUCGGAGCUAGUCACCCUUAGACUGAAUAAAGAGAAAGGGACACCUAAAGGACCUCAACCUUCUUCAAUCUUGCUCUGCAGUAGCCAUCACACCCUAAAUACAUCUGUUCCUCUUCAUUGAUUCAUGAGGGGCCCCAGGGUGGCUCUCCACCACAUUUAAGUCUUUUUUCUGUAUGGUUAAAGUGAGGGGAGGUGAAUCCACUCACAAAGAUCUGCCUCAUACAUCACAUCUGCCCGUUUUACCUGUGUUACUUCUAAAUGCUCGCUUUUCUGGCUACUAGUGGGUUAAACGGAAAAUGCACACUGCUAAAGCUGCAGGUUAAUGCUCUGAGAUUUGGCAGGAUCUUGCUUUCUUAUUGUGUUAUUUCGUAGAAAUAACUUUGCUGUUUGCUGGAAAAACAAAACAAAGCAAAACAUCUGUUUUAGUCUUCACACCAAGAACUACAACCCUGUGAAAGCUACUGAAGCAGGAGACGGUCAAAAUAAGAGAACUGCUAUAAUGUCCAAAGGGAAAUCACAGCUUUGCUGUACCUGGGAAGAACAUGACUCACGGUGUGCCUGGAAAGCGCAGAGACGGUGGGGAAUAGGUCUUGCAAGAGGCAGCAAAGUGAUGUCAAAGGGAGCAGAUGGAUUGCAUUGCACUUGGCAGACUGAAAGACGCUCUGUUGUCUCCUGAACUGGAGCUGUGGCGCUGAAACAACAGAAUUGUGCUCUCCCAGCACACAUUCUGCUGAUGUGGUGGUCACUCUGCACAGGAAGCAUUUUGAUCCCUUGUAGCACGUCCAGCCAAAGCCUGAGCAUCCUGACAGUGCCAUCCUUAGUGUGGGUGAGGACCAACAAUGACAAGGUUAAGGCGUUUGAUAACCUGUGAGCCCAAGUGCAAAAGCGUUAGAUAAACAGUGGUAAUGAGAGGGGAAUUAGGGACAAUAGAUCCUUGAGGGCCAGAAGAUCUUUCGAUGUUGUUUUUAUUUAGAGAGGGUUAUUUUUAUUUAGAGAGGGUUAUUUUUUUGUUGCAACAUUUCUAUGGGAGAAGGAGGGGAGGCCGUGCUGAGUGGGAUCCUUUGCAUUGCAGAUACCAGCUGCUCUCUGUGGAGUAGCAAACCAGGCUGCAGGUGCUUUAGCUGAAACUUGGUUUCAUUGACCCAGGUGACUUUUGCCAUCAACCCUAAGGCAGGAGGGCUCCCGUCCACGGUGCCACCGGGAGCACAAAGACACCACUGAGCGAUGUCUCACAAUGGUGUUUAACAGAAGGACAUAACAGAAAAGUUCUCGUAGUCCCCUUGCUUAGGAGUGAAAUGCCAUGCCCCCAGGAAUCAUGCGGGAAGAUUACAACCAGAUUUUCACAUUGCAAUGUGUUCUGUUUAUGAAUGGAGACCAAACUAUGCGACCGAAGCACAACCCCUUAUUAGAGGGGAAAGGCUGAGAUGACGAAGAGCCCUGUGCUGUGCGGAUAAGCUGGAGUCACUGUGCUCUGCCUCAGCUAAUUGGCACAGGACCCAGCAGCGUGGGUACCCAACCAGUCGUUUCAUACAUAGAAACUUGUAAUUGUGUGAGCAUUUCUACUCACUUUUAAUUCGGCUGAUGAAAACGCACAGAUGUGAGGGUAAAAGGUUGUGUGAGAUUCAGGAUGUCACCAGCUCCUCUUAACUUGCCUCCCUGGGCUGCUCAAGUGUUUUUCUAAUAAUAAUAAUAAUAGCAAUCUUAAUUUACUGUGAAUUGAAAAGGAGAGUUGAAGCAAACGAAGGCCGUGCCACCAUCCUCCAGGAAGACCCAAGAAGCUGAGGAAUGUCUUCCUCUUCUCAAAACUGGAAAGCCACCCUGGGGAAGGUGGGGACUGUACACCUCUGCUGUCCACCCUGUCCUCUCCAUGCCCAUUUUCAUGGCCCAUGGCUAGUGCAGGGGUUAUGUACCAGCCACCUCUGUGGGCCAUGGCUGGUUAGACACGGGUGCCUGGGGCACCUUGCACCACCGACAUCAGCCACGAGCCUCAGCUGCAGCCACCUCUGUCCACCUGGCCUGGCUGACUCGCAUGGAAGUGAUUUGUCAGGAGCUCCACUGAACCCCCUCAAAAAUAUUCUUGGCCAAAGUGCCAAGCUUGCCCUCAGGAGACUCUCUUUGGGCAGCUGGGCUUGCUCUUCCCACACGCCAGCCCCCCUCGGACACAUUGCAUGGGCAUUUGAGCAACUACCCAACCAUAAAACAAGCAUAAAUGUUUUCUCAGGGAAAGGAUGAGGAAUGUGUUUGCAAUCCGCUCCAAGAUUUUCCUAAAAUAAAGACUCCAUGUCCGUGGACAAUAAUCAUAUUAGCACACCAGGAAGUUAGAAAAAAAUGAAAAAGAAGUUAUUGUGUUGGUCACACACUGCUGGGUUUGUCCCUUUCCGGACACACUUGAUUAGACUCCGUUACUGGUUUGUAGACACCCUAAAUCUAGCAGGGAAGGACUGAAGCACUGACAUAUGGUUAAGAUAGUAAAACAGCCCAAACCUUUCCAAGCAUUAGCUGAAUUUCAUCCAAAAUUCCAUUAAAAUACAUACUGAAAUAAUGUGGAAAAAGAGGAGGAUCUUUUUUGCAUAGCCAUUUAUGUAUUCUUUGGUGUCUUAGUGUCAUCAUGAUCCUUAGCUCAAAUUCCUCAAGUUCACACACCCAGCACAACACUCUGCAUUGACUUGGGGCCACAACUGAGAUCUGUUCAGGGAACUUUAUUCUCAUGGACCCUCAAAUCUAACACUUCCAAAUUAACACCAAUUGUGGUUAGUUGCUUCAUAUGCACUCUCUUUAGAUAUCCAUUUCUAGCUGCGUGCAACUGCUGGCAGCAAAAAUGCAUUAGAAAGAUUUAACCUCUAACCUCACCCAAACAAAAGAUGUUCAAGAGCAUUGAUACUUUGAUGGGGUCCUGGGCACUGGUGGGUAAAUGAAGACAAGUUGGAGAAAAGUCUCCAGUGUUUUCCCUCCUCAAACCCUGUCCCCUGAUCACCAGGGCUGCAUCAAAAACCUGCCUCACUUCCCCAGAUCCUAUUCUAGCACCUUGAAAAUGUCAAAAGGAUUCAUCCUUCUUCCUAAGCACCUUCAUGGGAAUGAUGCAAAGCAGUCUGCUAUGGGCUAUGACAUUGUCAGAGAACAUUAAGAGGUAGCUGGGUUGCUGCUUGUGUCAAGGACCUCCAAGAAAUCCUUUUUGGGUGAGUUGGUAGCAGUUCAGUGUGCAUCAUUUCUAGAUUUCAAGAAGAUUAGGAAGAUCCAUUCCAUUUUUUUCCUGUUUUUCUCCAAGAUGUACUGCUUGGACAAUAACAGGAAUAACUCCACGAGAGGCAGAUGGCAUUAGAUGAUCAUGCUGAUCCACUGAGGCUUAAGUACUGAACUUCUUUGCAGUCAAGGUGGGCUAGAAACAUGCACUGUGAUCAGCUGAAAGGCAAGGAGACAUUGCUGCAUCUGUGUCUGAUUUGUGUGUGCCCCGAGAAGGAAAUUGCAUUUCAAAAGGGUUUUGCAUUCAGGUCAUGUUAUUUUAUUCCAAGCUGGUGAGAUUCUGCUCCACUACCUAGCCCUGAAUGUCAGGUGAUUUCAAUUUGUUUGACAUCUCUAGUUUUGCACUAUUUUAUUCAUUCUGAAAUAGUACAUUUGCCCAAGUAUCACUUCAUAUUAAACAAGGACUGGAAAUUUACUGGGGUUUUCUCUGAACAGACAAUUUGCUAGAAUAUCAUUUUUAAGAUGAGAAAUUAGUUAGACAGCUUCCUAAGAGCUUUACCUGCAAGCCAAUAAGAAAAUGGAAUCAGUUUAACAUAUUUUAUUCAUUUUUGUUGUUUUUGUUUUUGUUUUCUCUAGAAAACAGAUUAUUUUUUUUCAUGAAAAAGCAAUUUUGAGCUUUUUUUCUAAGGGCUAAGAAAAUAGCAAUCAAAAUCUGAAAAUGAAACAGAACUAUUAACUUAUAGUGGCAUGACGGCAUGAAAGAGAUCAGUCAAUCUGAAAUGGAGUUGUUUUUUUGUUGUUUUUUUUGCUUGCUUGUUUGUUUGUUUCUGGUUUGGUAGAAAAUAAUUAAAAAAAAAAAUAAACCCACACAGAAAUAAAACAAUCCUUUGCACAGCUCUAGAUAAUGUGUUUCAAAAAUAGUCCAAAGGGAUACAUUCACACAGAAACAGAUUCUUUCAUUUCUCAAGCCAUCCAAUAGUGAAGGAAAAAAGAGACCAGAACUUCCUCCAAGUUUCCUUCUGCUGCUCCUCUUAAAACAAGGGAAAACACAUUUCUGACCACAUUACAUGUUUUAGUUGGACACCACUAAACGCAAGGCUUCUGCUGAAAUGCAGGACGCCACCCGACCAAAGUUCAAAGUCGGGCAACCAGCCAUGAUUAUUUGUAAAAUAAAGUGAAUCCAAAAGCUGUCAGACGAGCAACUGCAAUGAUAACUUGGAGCAUCUUCCUGGCUGUAAACACCCUCCUGUGGUGGUCCCUGCUUCAUUUACCCCAAGAUAUACCCUCCCCUUGUAACUCAGGCAGAACUUAGGUGCAGGAGGACUUUGGCUCGGGGUGCUGGUUGUCCUGCCUUUCCUUCCCUCAUCUUCCCUGAUGUAUUUUGGCUUGGGCAGUACCUGGAGUCAACACAGUGAUUUUCAUGGAGGGCACUGGGAUCUACGUGGUCCAUACAGAGAGGGAAAGAGGAAGAAGUAAGGAUGUGAUAUUGGAAAGGGACAAUGCUUUCCUCUGAAGGGUUGUUAUAGCUCCUUCACCUCCCUCUCACUGGGAAAAUCUUGGUCAUUUCUACCUCUGCUGGCCCUCUCCAUCGUGCCAAGCCAUGUGCCAUGAGCUGUGUGCUGUGUCUGCAAACCUGGCCUCCCUCCUCCAUGCACUGCAUCAUGCCCCA